This 466-nucleotide ribosomal RNA is filed under the name uncultured bacterium. RNAcentral describes it as "partial 16S ribosomal RNA". It matches the Rfam family "Bacterial small subunit ribosomal RNA", at positions 28 to 507 of the family's 1533-position model. The record is from RNAcentral.
GAUGAACGCUGGCGGCGUGCUUAACACAUGCAAGUCGAACGAUGAAGCCCAGCUUGCUGGGUGGUUUAGUGGCGAACGGGUGAGUAACACGUGAGUAACCUGCCCUUGACUCUGGGAUAAGCGCUGGAAACGGCGUCUAAUACCGGAUACGAGCUUCCACCGCAUGGUGAGUUGCUGGAAAGAAUUUCGGUCAAGGAUGGACUCGCGGCGGACCAGGUAGUUGGUGAGGUAACGGCACACCAAGCCGACGAGGGGUAGCCGGCCUGAGAGGGUGACCGGCCACACUGGGACUGAGACACGGCCCAGACUCCUACGGGAGGCAGCAGUGGGGAAUAUUGCACAAUGGGCGCAAGCCUGAUGCAGCAACGCCGCGUGAGGGACGAAGGCCUUCGGGUCGUAAACCUCUUUUAGCAGGGAAGAAGCGAAAGUGACGGUACCUGCAGAAAAAGCACCGGCUAACUACGUG